Molecule: non-coding RNA, 795 nt
Organism: Oryzias latipes (Japanese medaka)
Lineage: Eukaryota; Metazoa; Chordata; Actinopteri; Beloniformes; Adrianichthyidae
Source: RefSeq, a predicted model, not a curated record
CCACAGUCGAGCCCCACCGAGCAGAACUUCUCACGCAUCUCCGAGAUCACCUGAAAACCUGCAACCAUGAGCGACAAGCCCGACAUCUCUGAGGUGGAGUCAUUCGACAAGUCCAAGCUGAAGAAGACGGAGACGCAGGAGAAGAACCCGCUGCCCACGAAAGAGACCAUCGAACAGGAGAAGGCCUCAUCAUGAAGCCCCUCCCCUGCCGCCAUGCACUGUACCCCCCCCUCCCCCGCACCGCCUCGUCUUCAGUCACUUCCCCUCAGCGUAUAACCCCUCAAACCAAUGCACAGCCUGAUGCCUUCGCCAGGGGCGGUCGGCCCCGCCCCCUCCCACCUGGACGUCUCCAACCGGACUGUCAGCACCGUCUGAGGGGCGGGGCCUGACCUACGACCCAGGAAGCCCGUCUCACCAAAAACCUUCACUCCAGCUUCCUGUGGCUGCUUCUGUGGCGCCGCGGCGCCGAGCUUUGUCUGUUUUUCUGAUCUGUGGAUCCGUUGGUGGCCCAAAUGUAAAUCUAGAAUCUGAGUCUGGAUUCCAUCUGGAUCUAGGAGAUCCCACCGGACCUCUGCUGGGCUUGUCACUUCCUGUGGCCCCGCCCCCUGCCGUCACUGAUCUGGUGGUGGGGGGGUUGGUUCUGAAAUGAGGAACAUCCUGAUGGGUUCUGUGUUCUGAUUCAAACUGUAAAUCAUGUUCUGUAAAUUCACCCUCCUCCCCCAGCAGCUGCCACAAACCGUCACCAGACGCUGAAAAACCGUCAGAUGUUGUAAUAAAAGAAUUUGUUACUAAGCA